RNAcentral lists this long non-coding RNA (359 nucleotides) under Oryza sativa Indica Group (long-grained rice). Its description in RNAcentral is "lncRNA OsZS97_04G011660". Lineage: Eukaryota; Viridiplantae; Streptophyta; Magnoliopsida; Poales; Poaceae. The record is from RNAcentral.
CGCCAAAUAGCCACCAAAAUUCCCCAUCUCGAACUCUCGCGCGCGGAGAGAGAGGAGGAGGUGUAGCGCGCGACGCUUCCACCGUGAUUGGAGCCAAGACCUUCGCUGUUGCCAUGGAGAUUGUGAGAUCCCACCGACCGGCAGGAAGAGGAGAAACUGGGAAUUCUAUUGCUCAAUGUGGUCUCGGAAUUCCAGCAGCAGGAUGGUAUCCCACAAAAGUGAUGGGUGUCCCAAAAAACAGAUUCCCAAAGGUGAAAACACCUGACAUUGACAAUACUCAAGUAUGGUCUGUGAAUGUUCCACUUGGAAAAGUAAUUACCAGGUACCUAUUUUCUGGUAUUGUCUUUUCUCAUGGAUAA